GGAUGUGAGGGCGAUCUGGCUGCAACAUCUGUCACCCCAUUGAUCGCCAGGGUUGAUUCGGCUGAUCUGGCUGGCUAGGCGGGUGUCCCCUUCCUUCCUCACCGCUCCAUGUGCGUCCCUCCCGAAGCUGCACGCUCGAAGAGGACGACCUUCCCUGAAUAGAGGAGGACCGGUCUUCGGUCAAGGGUAUACGAGUAGCUGCGCUCCCCUGCUAGAACCUCCAAACAAACUCUCAAGAAUCAGAAACUAGCCUUGAAACUUACGGUUACUAAACAACAGUCAGUCCAUUUUCAUAUUCUGAAAAU
Mesocricetus auratus (golden hamster) is the source of this 305-nucleotide unclassified non-coding RNA. Its record names the gene 7SK. It matches the Rfam family "7SK RNA". From Rfam's summary of the family: 7SK was discovered as an abundant small nuclear RNA in the mid-70s but a possible function has only recently been suggested. Two independent studies have found that 7SK RNA binds the CDK9/cyclin T complex (known as elongation factor P-TEFb). The record is from Ensembl. Lineage: Eukaryota; Metazoa; Chordata; Mammalia; Rodentia; Cricetidae.